AAAAUACCACGCAGCAGAGGCUCCACAGAAAGAUUGGGGCGGGAUGAAACGGGAAGCCGGUGCGCCCCGCACCUGAAUCGUUUGUACACCAUGCCCCUUGGGGAACAUGACAAGCGAUUCAGGUGCGGGGUCAUCCCGGCGCUGCCCCCGCAACGGUAAACGAGUCAAGGCGAAUCAAGCGCCACUGUGGCGCACCCAAAUCGGGUGACGCGGUGCGAUAGUGCACUAACACCCAUGUCUGAUUUGGGUGCGCCACGGGAAGGCGAUUUGCCCGGGUUAAGACCCACUCGUGAGCCCGGAGACCGGCCUGAAGCAACACCAGAUG
Molecule: non-coding RNA, 325 nt
Filed under: Candidatus Muproteobacteria
Lineage: Bacteria; Pseudomonadati; Pseudomonadota
Source: RNAcentral